This is a long non-coding RNA of Haliotis rufescens (red abalone), 298 nucleotides long. RefSeq lists it as uncharacterized. Lineage: Eukaryota; Metazoa; Mollusca; Gastropoda; Lepetellida; Haliotidae. The record is from RefSeq and is a predicted model, not a curated record. The transcript is spliced from 3 exons.
CUUUGCCGUCUGCACAUGAGUGGCAACGUGCGAGGCACGACGGUUUAAUGUCGAUGGUGGCACGAGGAGGCCGAAUUGGACCGAGGGGGAGAGGGAGCUACUUGUUGAAGGAGCAGAUUUACCGAGGUCCUAAAUGCAUGGGGAUUCAGCUGCAGUUUUACUCCCAGAAGCAGUGACACCAACAGAAAGUGCCUUUUGUGACAAUGUGUUGCAGGGACAGGAGCAUGGAUGUCUUAAUAUCCCUGGUUGGGAUACUACAUACAGCGCCAAAAGUAACCGAGGCCUCAACAUGUACAAG